This 268-nucleotide unclassified non-coding RNA is filed under the name Hevea brasiliensis (rubber tree). The record is from RNAcentral. Lineage: Eukaryota; Viridiplantae; Streptophyta; Magnoliopsida; Malpighiales; Euphorbiaceae.
CACGGCGCAAUGUAGUCAGGCCGCUCCUCUUGCUAAUCACCCUGUUGUUGUCUGUUUGUCCCCUCAAGAGAGUUGAUGAUACUCUCGCCAACCUCGGUUUUGCAAAGCGGGCACAAGGCAUUGAUCUUCAACCAUUUAUCUACACAGUCCUUGUGGAAAAAGUGUGCACAUGGCAACUCUCUCAGUUCAUCGUUGUUAGCGUAUUUCGCCAAGCAGAUGCAACAGACAGCAUCUUCUCCAGAAAUCACUCGUUCCUUUUCAGUUCCAG